GACGAACGCUGGCGGCGUGCUUAACACACGCAAGUCGAACGGUAAGGCCCUUCGGGGUACACGAGUGGCGAACGGGUGAGUAACACGUGGGUGAUCUGCCCUGCACUUCGGGAUAAGCCUGGGAAACUGGGUCUAAUACCGGAUAGGACCACUGCCUGCAUGGGUGGUGGUGGAAAGCUUUUGCGGUGUGGGAUGGGCCCGCGGCCUAUCAGCUUGUUGGUGGGGCGAUGGCCUACCAAGGCGACGACGGGGAGCCGGCCUGAGAGGGUGACCGGCCACACUGGGACUGAGAUACGGCCCAGACUCCUACGGGAGGCAGCAGUGGGGAAUAUUGCACAAUGGGCGCAAGCCUGAUGCAGCGACGCCGCGUGAGGGAUGACGGCCUUCGGGUUGUAAACCUCUUUCAGCACCGACGAAGCGCAAGUGACGGUAGGUGCAGAAGGAGGACCGGCCAACUACGUGCCAGCAGCCGCCGUAA
Molecule: ribosomal RNA, 478 nt
Filed under: uncultured bacterium
Lineage: Bacteria
Description: partial 16S ribosomal RNA
Rfam family: Bacterial small subunit ribosomal RNA
Source: RNAcentral